RNAcentral lists this long non-coding RNA (450 nucleotides) under Elaeis guineensis (African oil palm). RNAcentral's name for it is "long non-coding RNA (EGUI_LNC015330)". The record is from RNAcentral. Lineage: Eukaryota; Viridiplantae; Streptophyta; Magnoliopsida; Arecales; Arecaceae.
ACUUCCUCUCAUGGCUCCAGUCCCCUCAGGGUUCUUUCCUCCAACUUCCACUUCUCUUCCUUCGUUUGAGUCGGAGUUGAGGCCCGAGGCCACUUGGGAUAGUCCUUCUACCUUGCUCUCCUUUGAGCUUCAUGUCCCAAAGUGGGGUGUAAAGCAAAUGAUAAAGGUCUCCACAGCCCUUGAGUCGCUCAAGAUUUGCUACGAAAAGUGAUCCUCCCUACUUAUCAAAAAGUUUAUCGGGGGCUCGGCAUUUUUGUCCACAUAUGUGAAGCAUUCGAUUCUCUCCUUUGGAUAAGAGCUUGCUAUUUUGUUUCUUCUUUGUACUACAGAAUCUUUCAACCUAAUAAUUACUUGAUUUUCAGUUUAUCCACCACACCAACUUUUUUAAUAAUGCCAUCAAGAGGCUAGCUUCCAGGCCUCUUAAAUGAUGCAAAAAGAGUAUUGGAGAGG